This 229-nucleotide ribosomal RNA is filed under the name uncultured bacterium. RNAcentral's name for it is "partial 16S ribosomal RNA". It matches the Rfam family "Bacterial small subunit ribosomal RNA", at positions 568 to 796 of the family's 1533-position model. The record is from RNAcentral.
CACGUAGGCGGCGCUCUAAGUCAGGUGUGAAAUCCCCCGGCUCAACCGGGGAACUGCACCUGAUACUGGAACGCUCGAGGACGGUAGGGGUGAGUGGAACUCCAGGUGGAGCGGUGAAAUGCGUAGAUAUCUGGAGGAACACCGGUGGCGAAAGCGGCUCACUGGACCGUCUCUGACGCUGAGGUGCGAAAGCUAGGGUAGCAAACAGGAUUAGAUACCCUGGUAGUCC